AAAAUAUACUUUUACUACUUUACGAACGAUAAGAGUAACAUACAUAAGAAUGUAAAUGUAUAUCCUUUUAUUAUUAUAAUUAAAAAGGGAAAUAUAAAAUGUAAAAUUUAUUGCCAUAUAAAUUAUAUGUUAAUAAUUUAUACUUAAAACUUCAAUGGUAAUAUAUAUAUAUAUAUAUAUAUAUAUAUAUAUAUAUACAAAAUAAACCUUACAAUACUUUUGUUCAUUUGUAUAUUUUCUUUAUUUCACAUAUAACCAUUUUUAAUUAAAUAAAAACUUCAUUUACUUUCAAAUGUUCUUAUAAAUAUAAAAGUAUAUUAAAAAAUAUCCUUUUCUUACGAAAAAAUAAAAUAAAAACAUAGUAACUCAUUCAUUUAUAAAUAUAUUCUGAUGAAUAUUAUUACUAAAAAUAUUUUCUUUUUGUUGAUAUUAUUAAUAAAUAUAUUUAUAAAGCCAAGGUAAUAAAAAUUUAAAUAUAAUAAUAUAUAUAUCAAAAUAAUUGAGAAAACUAAAAAAACAAACAAAGGAAACUAUUCUCUUUAAUAUUGAAACAAUAUAUAAUAUUAUUACAUAAUAAAUAUUUUGUUUUGGAACUAAUAAGGAUCGUUAUAAAAUAAAUAUAAGCAAAAUAAAAAAUAAGAUUAACAAUAUUUAAAAUAUAAUAUAUAUAUAUAUAUAUAAUAUAUAUGAAUACUUUUGAGAGCUUGCGAAUAAAUUUUUUUCCUUUUUCUUAAGAAAAAAAAAAAUUAAGG
Molecule: small RNA, 752 nt
Filed under: Plasmodium reichenowi
Lineage: Eukaryota; Apicomplexa; Aconoidasida; Haemosporida; Plasmodiidae
Source: RNAcentral